UGCCUAGUUUUGUGUAAGAAAAGUUAGAUAAAGAAAAGGGGAAAGAUGAAGUUGAAGCCGUGGUCUCUCACACUGUUGCACUGAGCUUUGGUAUCAGGCCGGGGGUCAAAAUGCGGCUUUUAGUUCGUGGUGUGUGCAGAUGGCCUCUUGUCACAGUCGUAGAUACACAGUGGUGGCUGCAUUAAGUCUAGAAUGCCAGACCUAAUUACAAAUGACAGUGAUGAAGUCAGGAUUGUAAUCCAAUUUAAAAUGGGGACCCACAAUAUACAAUAUAUCCCAGCGAUGCUCACUGCUGUGCGAUUCAAUCAUUUGACAGCUUCAUCCAGUGUGCGGCCACGGCUGGUAUUGCUUUAGGCUGUAAGGGUGUGAAGAAGGAGACCUCAGGGGACCCCCGACUCCAUGGGGCAAAGCUGGGGCAUCCCUACCCGGAGGCGCAGGGCCCAGGACAGUGCUGACGUACUGUCUGUGUCUGUGCUUGCUAUAGAUUGUGGCGCGUUGAGCACAUGGGGACAGAGCUGACUGGCUUCCUAUUAACCAACAUUUUUACUCACGGGUCAGAAGGUGAUGCGGCUCUUAUAGAAACUCACCCCACACAUCCCCACACCAUUUUUUCUUCUCACCCAUUCUCAAGACCUCACCCAUGUGAGACAUGUCUACUUUUCUCCAUCUUCCCAUCUCAGUAACUUAUUUUAAGAUAAAUCAUUUUAACAGCUUUCUCCUAGGGAAAUUAUUCUGAAAUUUCGAGCAACAGCGUUUUUCCAGAACAUUCUAAGACUCAGCAGUAACUUUUUAAGGGGGAAGACGUUUUAAAAAGAAAUUUCAUUUUACUAACUGCCACACUGCAUAGCUUUUCUAGGGCUGUGGUUAGAUUUACGGGAGAGAGGCACCAGAGUGGAUUACAACACAGGACUGACCUUUUACCACCCGGCUGAAGCUCGAAAAACAAAACCAAAUCCCAUCUUACUAACCAUACCUGCGUCUUUUCUGGGAAAUACCCCAGAAUACAAGUUUGUUUGUUUUUUAAGAUGGUUUUCCUUCCCUGAGAGAACAAUCCUGAAACUUAAGUCAAUAAAGUUCUCAUGCUACAUAAGCAUUUUGCCUCCUCGGGUCAGACUUGAGGCCUUUUCCCCCCUUUCUUCUCGAACAUACAUCAAGUGCCUUAGAUCACGGUGCAUCCUAGGCAGGUUAUGCCAUUUUAAUCUCAUAAAUAUGAAAAUAAAAGACAUAAUCAGAGCAAAAACAGGACUUUUUAUUUUUAAACCAAAGGAAGCCAAAAUAGCAACAGAGGGGUGGGCCAUGGUGACACCCUAGAAGCGGCCUGAACUGGGCUGUAGGCUGUUAGUGUCAAUCUUGAAUUCUUUACCAAGAUCAAGGCCAAUCAUGAAUUAGUUCAGCAGAAGAGCCAAAAGGAGGGAGAUCAUGAAUUAUUCCAUUUAAAUUCUUUUCUCUCAUUUUUUCCUGGUUAAUUUUCCUUUAAUUUCAUUUUGGAAGUUCCUUUGGCUGUGAAAGCUUGGGUUUUCCCUGCUGUGAGAUCAGGACACUAGGCUUUGGAGGGAUCAUUUACAUUUUUGGUCUCUUGAUGGACAGAGCUGCUGUCUGCUCAUAAAGGCAGACGAUGACUCUUUGUGGAUGCCGCAGUGGGCAACAGCUCUUUCUGUGACUUGCCAAAGGUCAUUUAUCGAGCUAGGAAGGAACCACCAUCUUUGGGAUUUCAGUUGACCUUGUAGCCACAGGAGGCCCAGAGGAGGGUUUUUUCCCUUCAGUCUAACUUGUGUCACUUCCAAUCAAAUAUUUGGCAUCGAAUCACUGGAAGAUGAUUUUUAAAACUUGCCCUAUUUAAAGAGAUUCCAUUGAUUUAUCAUGUUAAUGCUGUAACUCAAAUUCCCAACAUGCAAAUAAGAGUGAUUUAUGAAAACACUAUCGUCUAAAAUUAUAACUCCUGAAGAUGGGUAUAUUUUUCUUCUUUGGUGUCGAAUCGCUCCAAACAAGCUCUGAUUGCAUUAACUAUACAUUACGCACUGAAAGGCAAACUCUCUUCAAGGCUAGGUUUUUGCACUUUCUUACUACAACUAAAAACAUUUCUUUAAAAAUUAAGUAAAAUAUUUGUAUUUACAGAAAGUCAGAUAAUGGAAAUUGUUCUACUUAUUUUAGAAUUUUAAUAUUCUAGUGAGAUUAAUAUGUUAAAACCAUUUAGUUUUUUUUCAAUGGCCAAAAUAUAUUUAUCAGGUGCCUAUGCUAGAGUACUAUAUUAGGCAUUGUACAAAACAAACAAACAAACAAAAAAAAAACCAAAAAAAAACCCAUGAUUUUCUUGGAAGUAGUUUUCAAUUUAGGGAAUAAAUUAGUAUUUUUUUUCAAGUCCAUAAAAUUCAUUUCAAAGUGAUUUGAAAAUUAAUUGGCCGGUACGGUGGCUCAGGCCUGUAAUCCCAGCAAUUUGGGAGGCCGAGGCGGGCAGAUCACCUAAGGUCAGGAGUUCAAGACCAGCCUGGCCAAAAUGGUGAAACCCCGUCUCUACUAAAAAUACAAAAAUUAGCUGGGCGUGGCAGUGGGUGCCUGUAAUCCCAGGUACUCAGGAGGCUGAGGCAGAAGAAUCGCUUGAACCCAGGAGGUAGAGAUUGCAGUGAGCCAAGAUUGUGCUGUUGCGCUCCAGCCUGGGCAAAGGGAGUGAAACUCUGUCUCAAAAAAAAAAAAAGAAAGAAAGAAAGAAAAAGAGAGAGAGAAAAUAAAAGAAAAUUAAUAUCAUUGGCUGUUUUUAAGUUCAUCUUUCCCUCCUCUGUCAUCUCACAGGUAUUAGUAAGAACCGCUGUUACACUGCGUGCCACACUGAAUUUCAACUAUCCCUCUAUCUGCUUUGUCUUCUCUCCCAGCCAGUAAGCUACUAAAUGAUUUUGGAUGAAUAAAUAAACAUCUAGGAAUGGGAAAGAGAGCAAAAUUGAACAAAUAGUAAUGAAUUAGAGUAAUCCUUUAAAAGGUGGAAAUUAUUGGAACAGAUAUGCAGUUUAAAUAAGUUGCAGACUAAGAUAGCAGCAUAAAACAUACAGGAAUAUGGCCGGGCGCGGUGGCUCAAGCCUGUAAUCCCAGCACUUUGGGAGGCCGAGGUGGGCGGAUCAUGAGGUCAGGAGAUCGAGACCAUCCUGGCUAACACGGUGAAACCCUGUCUCUACUAAAAAUACAAAAAAUUAGCAGGGCGUGGUGCCGUGCACCUAUAGUCCCAGCUACUCGGGAGGCUGAGGCAGGAAAAUGGCGUGAACCCGGGAGGCGGAGCUUGCAGUGA
RNAcentral lists this long non-coding RNA (3274 nucleotides) under Homo sapiens (human). Its description in RNAcentral is "HSALNT0102358". The record is from RNAcentral. Lineage: Eukaryota; Metazoa; Chordata; Mammalia; Primates; Hominidae.